Long non-coding RNA from Choloepus didactylus (southern two-toed sloth), 388 nucleotides. RefSeq lists it as uncharacterized. The record is from RefSeq and is a predicted model, not a curated record. The transcript is spliced from 3 exons. NCBI's taxonomy places the organism in Eukaryota, Metazoa, Chordata, Mammalia, Pilosa, Megalonychidae.
UGAGAGCCGCCCCCUGCCCUGGGUAAUGUGGUGUCAUGGACCUGUGCUGAGCACUGGAAUUAUUUUAUCCCCAGGAGGAAAGGAAUGUCGUGCGGACGAGCAUGGGGCUCUGCAGUCAGACACCCCGAAUUCUGGUCCAGCCACCCCUCUUACAGGCCAUGUGACAUUGGCAACAAGUGGUGCCCAACCUGGGGCUGGAAUCUCAAAGCGGCUGGUCCGCUCCGUUCGGGGGAAGGCUCGUUUAAUCGACUGAGGUGUAUGAUAUUGGCGCAGGAACUCAGGUGGAGCAGAGGCCUCACUACUUCUCUAGGUUUUGCUUGUUUCUCUCCAGGUGAAGAUCAGACUCCUAUUUAGGUGCCCGCACGACACCUGAAACUGUACCAUGAGC